RNAcentral lists this ribosomal RNA (460 nucleotides) under uncultured bacterium. RNAcentral describes it as "partial 16S ribosomal RNA". It matches the Rfam family "Bacterial small subunit ribosomal RNA", at positions 338 to 795 of the family's 1533-position model. The record is from RNAcentral.
CCUACGGGAGGCAGCAGUGAGGAAUAUUGGUCAAUGGGCGCGAGCCUGAACCAGCCAAGUAGCGUGAAGGAUGACUGCCCUACGGGUUGUAAACUUCUUUUAUAAAGGAAUAAAGUGAGGCACGUGUGCCUUUGUGUAUGUACUUUAUGAAUAAGGAUCGGCUAACCCCGUGCCAGCAGCCGCGGUAAGACGGUGGGUACGAGAGUUACCCGGAUUUAUUUGGUUUAAAGGGAGCGCAGAUGGGUGUGUGAGUCAGUUGUGAAAGUGUGUGGCUCAACCGGAAAAUUGCAAUUGAUACUGGCAGGCUUGAGUACAGUUGAGGUAGGCAGAAUUCGUGGUGUAGCGGUGAAAUGCUUAGAGAUGACGAAGAAUUCCGAUUGCGAAGGCAGCCUACUAAACUGCCACUGACAUUGAUGUUCGAAAGUGUGGGUAGCAAACAGGAUUAGAUACCCCAGUAGUC